GGGCGAUUAGCUCAGUUGGGAGAGCGCCUGCCUUACAAGCAGGAGGUCGGCAGUUCGAGCCUGUCAUUGCCCACCA
This 76-nucleotide transfer RNA is filed under the name Gracilibacteraceae bacterium. RNAcentral describes it as "tRNA-Val". It matches the Rfam family "tRNA". Rfam says of the family: Transfer RNA (tRNA) molecules are approximately 80 nucleotides in length. Their secondary structure includes four short double-helical elements and three loops (D, anti-codon, and T loops). The record is from RNAcentral. Lineage: Bacteria; Bacillati; Bacillota; Clostridia; Eubacteriales; Gracilibacteraceae.